RNAcentral lists this ribosomal RNA (344 nucleotides) under uncultured Verrucomicrobiota bacterium. RNAcentral describes it as "bacterial SSU rRNA". It matches the Rfam family "Bacterial small subunit ribosomal RNA", at positions 29 to 351 of the family's 1533-position model. Lineage: Bacteria; Pseudomonadati; Verrucomicrobiota. The record is from RNAcentral.
AACGAACGCUGGCGGCGUGGAUAAGACAUGCAAGUGGGACGCUGACUGUUGGGUAGCGAUAUUUAACAGUUGGAGUCGCGUAAGGGUGCGUAACACGUGGGCAAUCUGCCGCGAAGACCGGAAUAACUUGUUGAAAGGCGAGCUAAUACUGGAUAUGAACGCGAAGGAGCAUUCCUUUGCGCUCAAAGUCGGGGACCGUAAGGCCUGGCACUUCGCGAUGAGCCCGCGGCCUAUCAGCUAGUUGGUAAGGUAAUGGCUUACCAAGGCAAAGACGGGUAGCUGGUCUGAGAGGACGACCAGCCACACUGGAACUGAGACACGGUCCAGACACCUACGGGUGGCAG